RNAcentral lists this ribosomal RNA (253 nucleotides) under uncultured bacterium. Its description in RNAcentral is "partial 16S ribosomal RNA". It matches the Rfam family "Bacterial small subunit ribosomal RNA", at positions 524 to 776 of the family's 1533-position model. The record is from RNAcentral.
UACAGAGGGUGCAAGCGUUAAUCGGAGUUACUGGGCGUAAAGGGCGCGUAGGCGGAUAUAUAAGUGAGGUGUGAAAUCCCUGGGCUUAACCUAGGAACUGCAUUUUAUACUGUAUAUCUGGAGUACUGUAGAGGGUAGUGGAAUUUCCGGUGUAGCGGUGAAAUGCGUAGAGAUCGGAAGGAACACCAGUGGCGAAGGCGGCUACCUGGACAGAUACUGACGCUGAAGCGCGAGAGCGUGGGGAGCAAACAGG